Unclassified non-coding RNA from Mesocricetus auratus (golden hamster), 312 nucleotides. Its record names the gene 7SK. It matches the Rfam family "7SK RNA". From Rfam's summary of the family: 7SK was discovered as an abundant small nuclear RNA in the mid-70s but a possible function has only recently been suggested. Two independent studies have found that 7SK RNA binds the CDK9/cyclin T complex (known as elongation factor P-TEFb). P-TEFb activates transcription by phosphorylating the C-terminal domain of RNA polymerase II. NCBI's taxonomy places the organism in Eukaryota, Metazoa, Chordata, Mammalia, Rodentia, Cricetidae. The record is from Ensembl.
GGAUGUGGGUGACCUGGCUUCAACAUCUGCCACCCCAUUGACUGCCAUGUUGAUUCGGCUGAUCUGGGUGGCUUCCCCUUCCUCACUCACAGCUCCAUGUGUGUCCCUCCCUAAGCCACAACCUUCCCAGAAGAGAGGGGGCUCCCUCUCCAGUCUUCAGUCAAGGGUAUAAAAGUAGCUGUGCUCUCCAGCUAGAACCUCCAAGAAAACUCUCAGGAAUGAUUUGGUGGCAGUAAAGUUGGUAGAAAAGGAAAAGGAUUCAAGAAAACUAGGUUUCCUCCAUUUUUUACGUGCUAAGUGAUGGGAGCAGAC